This 512-nucleotide ribosomal RNA is filed under the name uncultured bacterium. Its description in RNAcentral is "partial 16S ribosomal RNA". It matches the Rfam family "Bacterial small subunit ribosomal RNA", at positions 28 to 522 of the family's 1533-position model. The record is from RNAcentral.
GACGAACGCUGGCGGCAUGCCUAAUACAUGCAAGUCGAGCGAACAGAUGAAGUGCUUGCACUUCUGACGUUAGCGGCGAACGGGUGAGUAACACGUAAGGAAUCUACCUAUAAGCGGGGGAUAACAUUCGGAAACGGGUGCUAAUACCGCAUAAUAUCUUCUUCCGCAUGGAAGAAGAUUGAAAGACGGCUCUGCUGUCACUUAUAGAUUACCUUGCGGUGCGUUAGUUAGUGGGUGGGGUAACGGCCUACCAAGACGAUGAUGCAUAGCCGACCUGAGAGGGUGAUCGGCCACAUUGGGACUGAGACACGGCCCAAACUCCUACGGGAGGCAGCAGUAGGGAAUCUUCCGCAAUGGGAGAAAGCCUGACGGAGCAAUGCCGCGUGAGUGAAGAAGGCCUUCGGGUCGUAAAACUCUGUUAUAAGAGAAGAACAAAUUGUAGAGUAACUGCUACAGUCUUGACGGUAUCUUAUCAGAAAGCCACGGCUAACUACGUGCCAGCCGCCGCCUAA